GUGAGGUAACGGCUCACCAAGGCAGCGACGGGUAGCUGGUCUGAGAGGACGAUCAGCCACACUGGGACUGAGACACGGCCCAGACUCCUACGGGAGGCAGCAGCAGGGAAUAUUGCACAAUGGGCGAAAGCCUGACGCAGCGACGCCGCGUGAGGGAUGGCGGCCUUCGGGUUGUAAACCUCUUUCAGGAAGGACGAAGCGAAAGUGACGGUACUUCCAGAAGAAGCCCCGGCCAACUACGUGCCAGCAGCCGCGGUAAUACGUAGGGGGCAAACGUUGUCCGGGUUUAUUGGGCGUAAAGAGCUCGUAGGCGACUCAGCAAGUCGGCCGUGAAAGCCCGAGGCUCAACCUCGGGAGGCCGGUCGAAACUGCUGUGGCUAGGGUCCGGUAGAGGAGAGUGGAAUUCCCGGUGUAGCGGUGAAAUGCGCAGAUAUCGGGAGGAACACCAGUAGCGAAGGCGGCUCUCUGGGCCGGUACCGACGCUGAGGAGCGAAAGCUAGGGGAGCAAACAGGAUUAGAUACCCUGGUAGUCCUAGCUGUAAACGUUGGGCACUAGGUGUGGCGGAUUCAUUGACAUCUGCCGUGCCGAAGCUAACGCGUUAAGUG
RNAcentral lists this ribosomal RNA (606 nucleotides) under uncultured Actinomycetes bacterium. Its description in RNAcentral is "bacterial SSU rRNA". It matches the Rfam family "Bacterial small subunit ribosomal RNA", at positions 252 to 866 of the family's 1533-position model. Lineage: Bacteria; Bacillati; Actinomycetota; Actinomycetes. The record is from RNAcentral.